This 785-nucleotide ribosomal RNA is filed under the name Kryptoperidinium triquetrum. Its description in RNAcentral is "LSU rRNA". It matches the Rfam family "Eukaryotic large subunit ribosomal RNA", at positions 1 to 672 of the family's 3401-position model. The record is from RNAcentral. RNAcentral also lists the same sequence under 1 other name. Lineage: Eukaryota; Dinophyceae; Peridiniales; Kryptoperidiniaceae.
GACAUGAAGUUAGGUCAGCAAACCCGCUGAACUUAAGCAUAUAAGUAAGCGGAGGAUAAGAAACUAAAUAGGAUUCCCUCAGUAAUGGCGAAUGAACAGGGAUAAGCUCAGCAUGGAAAUCGGUGUCUCUGGCAUUGAAUUGUAGUCUCGAGUUGUACUGCCAACGGAGGCGCAGAUGUAAGCCUCUUGGAAAAGAGCAUCAACGAGGAUGAGAGUCCCGUUUGUCAUCUGCAGUCCCCCGUGCACGGUGUACUUCUAAAGAGUCACGUUCCUCGGAAAUGGAGCGCAAAGUGGGUGGUAAAUUUCAUCUAAAGCUAAAUAUAGGUUCGAGACCGAUAGCAAACAAGUACCAUGAGGGAAAGGUGAAAAGGACUUUGAAAAGAGAGUUAAAAGUGCCUGAAAUUGCUGAAAGGGAAGCGAAUGGAACCAGUGCUUCUUGGCAAGAUUGGUGCGUGCUAAUGUGAUUGCCUGCUGCUUCAGCGCAAGCGUGGUAGUGGGUUUUGAUCAGGACGUGCGUGUUGUUUCUUGCCUUGUGUGUCAACGUCAGUUCUCGAUCGAGGAAAACGCCAGGGACAUGGUAGCUCGUCUUCGGGUGAGUGAAUGUGCUUGGUUGAACUCAUUUGUGAACUGGUUCUUGCGUGUCUGGUUGCAGUGCAUUGUGUCUUCACACCCCUGGGGUGGGUUUCGAUCUUCCGCAGGUGGGGUGGGCGACCGGUGCAUCUCCCUGACACAUCGACGCUGACUAAAUGGUUCUAUUCGACCCGUCUUGAAACACGGACCAAGGA